UCUGGUCGAGGCUGCCUCGUGUUAAACCAAGACAGUGCUCGCUGUUCCUCUCAAAAAAAAAAAGAAGGCAGAGCUCGCUGUUAGACCCAUGGAGGCGCCGGCGACUGGUUCCACCCGCGGCGAAGACAUGAAGGCCGACGGCUUGGAAUCCCUUCUAGAUGCAGUCGACAGGUGCGCAAGCCUGUUUGCCUCGGUCGUCCUUUUGCGUUUUAUUUGUGCAUUAUUCGCGAUUUUGUCCGCGGUAAAGCAACUCUGAGACGAUUCGAUACCAUGUUUCCACUGCGAGAGGAAUUCGUUGCAGAGCAACCAAAUCCGGCGCCCCUCGCUGUACUGCCGCGGGGUGGAGCCAUUCAGGAAUUGUGCAUCCGGCUGCGUACAGGACGUGGGGAACCGCAGAUCGCACAGAAGUGUCUGCCAGGCCAGGGGAAGGAAGAACACUACCCCGACGCAGUCCGCGCAGUCAACCGGGAAGGUUAACCCAGAGGCUCCAGGCUGUACGAAGAGGUGACUUCCUAUUUUCGCUUCGAUCGUGCUGUUUCAGAAUUUUAGUUCUUAAUAAAGAACGAAAUUCGUUGAGGUCGCAUGCAUAGAAAAUGUAUGAUGAAGUUGUGCUGUAGUGUUCAGUACUCGCAUUCCUGGAUGAGUUAUCUUGCCAAAAUUCUUACGACUGGGUAAUUUGCUAUCAGUAAUGAUGUGGGUAAAAGAAUAGAGCUGCGCAGAUGCUACUACUGGCUGUUUUGAGCAGAAUAAGCAUGUUUGCAAUGUUGGCUGACUGAAAACAAAAAUAUUGAUGCAGUCCUGCAUGUUUUUGAGAUGUCUGCCGAAUGAUUUGCAGGUUGAGGCUAGUCAGUGCUUCACUAGACAGAACCCCAUGCCUGUUGAGGAUGAGCACGUUGGAGAAAUUAAUUAGGCAGUAUGCAGAAGCUUUCUAAGUGUGUGAUAAAGCCUGAGUUGGGGAUAAGCUUUGACUCGCUAGGUGAACACUUCUACAACCUAUGUUCGAGGUAGGCUUUGGUAUUAGGUAUGGCAAGAGCAGAUUGAAUGCCUGAGUUGGCUGAACUUUUGUGCUGAAUUGUGUACUCUUAUUAUGCAGACCAGAACAGAGCCAUGGAGGACGCUAUCAGUAAAGUGUUCCCGGAUACUUCCAUAGUUACAUGAAAAUGUUUAGAAUGCACGCGGACUUUCUUAAUUUUGGAUUUAGACUGGACUGCAAGAUUAGGGUACUGAGCCCGAAGGUAGUUUGCAAACUCCAUCGGUCCUAGUUCCAGGAUAGGCGAAGCGACAUUCGAAUUUGUGACUUGUGGGAGUGGUGGGUGAAUGCCGGCACUUGCUGUACAGGGGAGGUGAGGUUUCGCCUAUGCAAGAAGAGGAGAUGAGGUUCCGGUAGAUUCUUUUUUCUUUUGAACUGGGCAUGCUCAUCUUAAUCGCUCAGCCCAAUAGCCACACGUAUGUGUGAGCUGGGCAAAACAUGUGUAUGAUAUCCAAAACAUGGUAUACACUCAAGUCGAAUGUCAAGAACAAAGGUAAUUCAUCCGCA
This 1537-nucleotide long non-coding RNA is filed under the name Triticum aestivum (bread wheat). RNAcentral's name for it is "long non-coding RNA (TAES_LNC027365)". The record is from RNAcentral. Lineage: Eukaryota; Viridiplantae; Streptophyta; Magnoliopsida; Poales; Poaceae.